This is a long non-coding RNA of Acanthopagrus latus (yellowfin seabream), 2933 nucleotides long. RefSeq lists it as uncharacterized. The record is from RefSeq and is a predicted model, not a curated record. The transcript is spliced from 2 exons. NCBI's taxonomy places the organism in Eukaryota, Metazoa, Chordata, Actinopteri, Spariformes, Sparidae.
UUCACUCCUCUUCCUCCUACUCGUCCUCCCCCUCCUCUGCCCAAUCCUCCUCCUCCUCCUCUUCCUAACCAGGCUUCACUGUUCACAUCAAAAGUCAUUCGACUCCUCCUUUGACUCAGUUGUUAUAGUAACACACCUCUCCCUGUCCCCGGUACUCACCUGAGAGGUAGUUAAGAAUGUAGAUGGGUUUCAUAACAUCACUCAAUAAGAGAGACAGCCUUGACGCAGGAAAGAGAGAAAGAAAAGCAGAGGAGAGGAUCGUUGCUGGGUUUUAUGGUGAAAUCACGAUUGGCGCGUUGUUGGUCGGUACAAGUUGGCCUAAAUGUAAUUCCCUGUCAGCCGCGACGUGAACUGUACCUCAUAACAUCCUGUCCUGCGGCCGUUACUCACUCUCAGACUCACUUGGAAACACCCGCCGACAGCAGGUCCUGCUAUUAGCUUCACACCAAGCUCAGCACUACACAUCGCAGGCCACUCGUACCGUGACUCAGACCUGCACGUGACUGCGCUGGCAUUUUUAAUACUGCGCAGUAAUGGCAGGCCGAGCUUUACACACGGACUCGUAGGAAAAGUAGAUCUCACUAAAGCCGACUUUUUGGCUGCACACUAAUGGGUAGAUUUGCAGUAGAAUGUAUCGCUCGACGUGGGCGUAAAUGGUCUGAUGUGCUCGCGCUGAUGCACAAAGCUCCUACGAAGACCCACAUGGUGCUCCGCUGCACCCUGCACUGCUCUGUGCCAGCACUGCACUCUUAUACAGCACAGGGACACAAAGCAAGUCUGCUUUUCCUCUCAGCUCAUAUUGUUUAGAGCAGUUGUUCCUAAUGUGUGGUGCCCAGAAAAAAAGGUGGUCUUGGGGAUCAGAAAGGUUGCAACUUAAUGGAAGGAAUUUAAAUAUGAACAGCCAAAACAUGUGGUGUUUUUACCUUUUGACAUUUACUGUUAAUUCUUGGUGGUCACAGUCAAAAAAAAGAUUGGAAACCACUGAGUUGGAGUAAGAACUUCUGAUAAAGCUCGACUUUGGGGAGCAGUGAAACCGACUUGUGAAGGAUUUUCCAAAAAGGCUACAAGUAUAAUAUCAGCAUUGAUUAAUCUGUUGAUUUUUUUAAAUUGUUUUGUUUAAAACAAUGUUGGAUAGUGAAAAAUAGAGAGACUUAGCGGAUUUGAGUCAGUUUUAUGUGAUAUUGCAUUAGGCUUGAUUGAAUGAAAGGGGACUGCUGGGCCUUAGCGGACUACUGAGUGCCAUUCUGGUUUUAACAAUUAUUAGAUUAUUAGAAUUGUUGAGUUUGAUUAAUUUUCUGUUGAUCAGUUUAUCAUUUUUAUUGUGUGUUCGGAGUUCACCGAAUCAGGCGGUUAAAAUCUGUUCUUUGCAGGAUCUUUGCCAGCAGCCGUCAAGUUUAAAAGCAUCCUAUUCCCACUUGAUUUGCCAUAUGUGGCCAUAUAAAUAUUGUAAAGGCAAAUAUUGACAGACCAACAAUAGCUGAUAGUUGCAACGAAGGGAAUGAAACAAUCAUUGAUAUAUAUUAAUUGUGAAUUCAAGCAGUUUUUGCAUCACUCGCUGCUCCUUUGCUGGGUGCCCUAAAACACUUGUCCAUGUCAGCACAGAGGCAUUAAUGUACCAAGUAUCUCCUUUUAAACGAAAGACAAGCAUGACCUGGAGGAAAGGUCACCACCUAAUCACCUGCCACUGACCCAACUCGAAUAAUUUUAAGUCAACAAGAAAACAGGAUUGACUCACAGCCAAAGUGACACACACACAUAGAGACACUUCACCUCAGCCAGAGGCUUGUUAGUUACGAGGUGAGAAAACAAAGGGUGUUAAGUCAGAAUUGGAUUUGUGUCUUAUUGGAGAGACGAGAGCCACAGUGCAGAAAGACAGCUCCAGCCUUUUCCACAGGAUCAGUGAGUGGAAGCACACUUGGAUGCGGCCGCCCAACUGUGAUAUGUUGACAGCUUGUCAGCCGAGAAGAGUGGCGAUGCUCCUCAGGUGUAGUGUGAAACAGACACCAAUGUGGAGCUCAACACCUAUCAGAGGCAUAUAACGGGAGAAGAAGAGGGUGGACAAGGUGACAAGAGGCAGAGAAAGUGUUGUCCGCGGCGUGCUGGUGCGGCUUUAUUGGAACCGUCACGUCGAGUGAGCUGAACAGCCUGCCCCAUCUGGACCCGGCCUCCUUAAUGCCCGACCGCUCCGAGCAUUCCUCCGUUUGUUUGUAAACAUUCCGCGGAUUGAAGCUUUCAUUAAGGGUGGAUAUUUAUGGAUGUUACGCUGAGAGGCUGCGAAAAUGUUCCCCGCAUCUCCUCUCUUUAAAGGAAAAAAAACAGAAAAAAAGUAUAUAGUUUAAGCCUAUAGCAUAAGAAUAAGCCACAAUAUGCUAACAUGUUUACCACAACAGCAUUUAAAAGCACUAAUUUCAUCAGAUCGUCCAGCUCUCCAGAGGCUGGCUGGCUGGCUGUCAGCGCACCCUGGGGUGGUCUGGUAAUGAGCUGCCAUUAGCACCUAAUCAGACCAUUAUCCAGGCUGCAGCCUCCAUCUGCAAUGCUCUGUUUUACCUUUCAGUGUAGGUGGACAGGAGGGACAGAGGUAGCUUGUCUCUGUGCGUGUGUGUGUGAGCGUGUGUGAGUGUGAGCAUGUCAUACAUGUGUUUCAGCAGCUGCAGGUCUGUGUGUCUUUGUUUGAAGCGUGGGGGCGUCACCCUGCGCGUCUCUUUCAGAGGGAAGUAUUACUAGUGACGUGUGACCUUUCAUAGACCGAGCGGUAAGCGGGGCGAUCCUGGAGCCGGCCGAGUCCCGCAGCCGCCUGAUCUGCAGCGAUGAUGUAAGAGCCGGGCCGGCUUCAUCAUGAGAGCUCGGACAUGAUUAUUGUAUCACGAUUGUCAUCGUGUGACUUAAUGAUUAUUAAUGAUUCAUUUUUAGGAGAUAAAAUUCAGCAAAAGUUA